Long non-coding RNA from Vigna radiata var. radiata (mung bean), 4109 nucleotides. RefSeq lists it as uncharacterized. The transcript is spliced from 2 exons. Lineage: Eukaryota; Viridiplantae; Streptophyta; Magnoliopsida; Fabales; Fabaceae. The record is from RefSeq and is a predicted model, not a curated record.
GUAAAAAUAUGUUUCAAAACCCUGUUUCAUAUUACAUUUUAGAGUGUAGUAUGCUCAACUCAGAAAAGGUCAUUGAAAUAAAAGAUAAGACGUACAAGUGAAGAUAAUUUUCUUUAAACAAUGAAAGGAUAAUUUGGUGUGAGUUUGAUUUGGUUUUCUUACAGUUAGACAUGUCCAUGUUCAGUCAAAUAUUUCAUAGUUAUUUAUUUAAAUUGUGGUUCCCAAGAAUUAAUAUUCCUUGUGAAAGUUCUUGGGUCUUCGGUAGAAGAAGAAUAUAUAAUAAAGCAGAAGACAAAAUGAAUACAAUUUAUUAAAACAAUAUUUUAUGUUAUCUAUUCUAUAACAGAAACAAAGAUAACUAAAGCAGAACUGUUCAUUAAGAAUUUUCCAGAAUGGUACAUAAGAAUGUAGGUGCAAACCCAUUACGUCGAUACUAUAAAGAUGUCAAAGGAAUUGCCAUAAACCAUAAUAAACAAGUGAUCUGCUAUAAUUUUUUUUUUCUCUUAAUCCUGUGUACCCUUGGCUAAGGACGACAUGAAUUGUUUUUGAUUUUGCAAGUUGUUAAAACUAUUGAUUAUAAACUGUUAAGUUGUAUUUGCUCAUUUGCUGUGCUGUCCUUUCAUUGCAUCUGUCCCUCCCCUCUGCAUUUGCUUUUAGUUUGAAGCUACUCUUUUUCUUAGAAAGGUUAACUAGGUCAGUACAUUUUUCCAAUCAUGUUUGAAGAUUUUCUAAUUGUUCUUGUCAUCUAGUGUUUGGAUAAGGCACACUUGGGUUAAGGCACUAUUUAGAUAAAUUUGUCAUAGCACUUAUAAGAAACGAAAAUAAGAAGGAAAAAUGAAAUAACUUUCCAUUAGGUAACACUAGCUUAUAGAAACAUAUAUGUCUAAAUUUUAUAAUUAUUCAUGUCUUCUAGUGUGAAUUUUCAUUUGGGUUUAGUCCAUAAGCUCUUAUAGGAGAAAAAUAUUUGAAGGAAAAAUGGAAUUAGCUUCCAUAUGCUAAAAUUAGUUUAUAAAUAAACUAAUUUAUAAAACUCUCCUAUUAACUUCUCUAAAAACUAACUUAUUCAUAUGUUAAUUUAGCUUGGAAAGUGUUGGAAUAAGUACUAAGUCUAUUUAUGAUCUGUGAAGUCCAAAAGGACAAAAGUAGGGAGUAGUGUGUGGGUUAUCUCUAUUUUAUUGUAUCUAACUGUCUAGGACAUCUUUUUGACUUUCCAUCUCCCUACCAUGGUUACCAAACUCGCAAGUUAACUCGUUAACUUAGUCUAGUUUACGUGUUCACUCAGUGCUUCCAAGUUAACUCGGAAGCAAACUAAAAUUUAGUGUAGAAUCAGUAAACUUGAUAGUAGAAUCAGUAGGCUCGUCUAAAAUCGCGAGCUUGCUUUCGAUUUGGCGAGUUUGUGAAGAUUCUUUUAAAUGCAAAACAAAAUCGUUUUUAUGGCUCACCAAAUUAAGUUUUCUAAUUUAGGGUCAGUGACGAAACUUGUCUUCUUUGUUCCUCUCUUGCGAUUCGUCUAGGCUCUGCUCUCAUUCUUGCUAGCGUCUAUGUUUUGCCCCUUCUUGCACCCUUGCUUGCAUCGUCACUCGUGCCCUCAUUUGUCGUCACUCACACCCUCUUGUUGUCGCUCGCGCCCUCGUGCACCAUUGCUCGCGCCCUCACUCGUGCCUUCGCUUGUUGUCGCCCACCAUCUUGAUGUCAGCAAUGCUUAUGCCUCUGUUUUGCACUCAGUCAUCAUCUCACAAUCCUUUGUGUGGUGUACGUGUAAGUGAAAUUUUAUUCUCUGCACUGAAGAAAGUAUUUUCCGUGUGCCUUUGAUUCCACCUCAUCUCACAAACUUUUGUAUGUGUGUGUAAGUGAUUUUAUUUCUGAAAAGUAAAGGGCUGCAUUGUUUUUAAGUUCUAAACAAAGCCCUAUGUUGCAGUGCUUAUUUUUUAUGUUUUGUAGUGAAAAAACUUAUACCAUUAUGUUUGGAAACGCAUCAAAUUCAAUAGAUGCUAAUCCAAGUGCAUCUUCAUUGGUUAAAAAUAUAAGUAAAAAUGUUUCGGGAAAUCGGUCUGAUAUUGGAUAGAAACAUAGGUUUGAUAUUAAUGGUAAUGGAAGAAAAGUUAAAUGUAACUAUUGCUUAAAGAUUGAGUGGAGGCAUAUUUAGAUUUAAACAUCAUUUUGUUGGAACCAAGGAGUAUUCUGAGCCUUGUGCUAUUGUUUCGGAAGAAAUAAAAAAAUUGAUGAUAAAAAUAGUUGUAGAAGCUAAGGAUGCUUUAGUAAGGACAAGAAAGUUAAAUGUCAUUGAUGAAGACCGUGAGGAAAGUAAGAGUGUUAAAGGAGGAAUAUGGUCUUCAGUUUUAAAGGAAAACGAAAAGUUGCCACUACUAGCAAGGUGGGAGUCCAAGCAUAUAUAAAUCAAAUGAUGAAAAGAGGAUUGAAAGAAGUUAACGCUCAAGUGGCUGAAGCCUUUUACACUAGUGUCAUUCCUUUCAAUGUAAUUAGAAAUCCAACAUUUGCAAAGAUGUGUAAAAUGAUUGGUAAGUAUGGAGUUGGCUACAAACCACAAUCUUAUCAUGAUAUUAGAGAGAAGCUCUUGAAACAAGUUGCGAACAUAUAUAAUUCUUGAGAAAUAUAUGGAGGAGUGGAAGAGAAUUGGUUGUACCAUUGUGUCUGAUGGUUGGAUAGACAAAAAAAGAGUUUCUAUUUGCAACUUCUUCGUCAAUAGUUCUAAAGGGACGAUUUUUCUUUAUUCACUUGACACCUUAGACAUUACAAAACAGUUGAUAAGUAUUCAAAAUGUUAGAUGACAUUGUUUAGUUUAUUGGAGAAGAAAACAUAGUUCAAGUUGUCUGCAAAUUUCAAGGCAGCUGAAGAGUUGUUGGUGCAAAAAAGAGAAAAAUUGUACUGGAUUCCAUGUGCAACAGACUGCAUUAAUUUGAUCUUUAAGGAUUUUGAAAAGAAUUUGAAGGUCCAUGAAUUGAAAAUUAAGAACGGAAGAACGAUUACCACUUACAUUUAGGGAAGAUCAAUGUUGAUUUCCUUGUUGAAAAAGCUCACUAAUGGUAGAGAUCUGAUAAGAUCGGGUGUGAAUAGAUUUGCCACGACUUAUUCAACUUUUGCUUGUCUUCGUGAAUUGAAGGCAUCAUUGUUGACCAUGUUUAGCUUUGAGGAAUGGAAGACAAGCAAGUUUGGAACUUCACAAGAGGGAAGAAGAGUAGAACACGUGGUAUUAGAUAGUAGGUUUUGGAAGAAUGUCUCCACAUGUCUCUCUUAUGGUGGUCUUAAGACUGGUGGACUCAGAUGUAAAACCCGCAAUGAGUUUCACUUAUGAAGAGAUGCAUUGUGCAAAAGAGAAGACUAGGUCCAAUUUUAACAAUAUUAAGAAGAGUUACGAAGAGGUUUGGAGAAUAAUUGAUGCUCGAAGGGAUAAUCAACUUCAUGGGCUUUUGCAUGCAACUACCUAUUUUCUGAACCCCAUUUCCACUAUGAACCUAACUUUAGAUAUGAUGAACUUUAGAUAUGAUGAUGAUGGAGAGGGUAAAGAAGGAUUGUAUAUGUGCAUGAGUGAAUUGGUCUCGGACUUGGCACGAAGAAGAAAAAUUAAUUUGCAAAGUGUUGAAUUUCAUUUUGCUAGAAGACUUUUUGGAAUGGAAGAUGCAAAGGAAAGCAUUAAAUCUUGAGGAAUGUGUGAGAUGUUUGGGGAUGGAAUUCCGGAGUUGAAGAAGUUUGCUAUUUGAAUUCUAAACUUGACUUGUAAUUCUUCGGGUUGUGAGCGUAAUUGGAGUUCAUUUGAAAUGGUAAUUCAAAUUAUUGCUAAUUUAUAAUUUUUUUUAUUAGGUUUAUAUCUUUACCAAAAAUUUGAUAUUUCAUUUUAGGUUCAUACAAAGAGAAGGAAUCAUUUACAUCAGAAAAAAAUGAAUGAUUUAGUUUAUUUGAUGUAUAACUUGAAGUUGAAAAGUAUACAAAUUUGAAAAAUUGUUGUUCUUCCAUUUGAUGACAUUGAAUCAUAUGAUGAAUGGAUAACUGAAGAGGCCGAUAAUGUUGUUGAGAUUAGCAAGCUAAAGGUGAAAAUGAUGGUGAAAAUAUUCACUUGGAUGGAGCAACAAUAGAAUCAGCUCUAGAUGCUU